Molecule: ribosomal RNA, 460 nt
Filed under: uncultured bacterium
Lineage: Bacteria
Description: partial 16S ribosomal RNA
Rfam family: Bacterial small subunit ribosomal RNA
Source: RNAcentral
CCUACGGGGGGCUGCAGUGAGGAAUAUUGGUCAAUGGACGAGAGUCUGAACCAGCCAAGUAGCGUGAAGGAUGACUGCCCUAUGGGUUGUAAACUUCUUUUAUACAGGAAUAAAACGAGGUACGUGUGCCUUUUUGCAUGUACCUUAUGAAUAAGGAUCGGCUAACUCCGUGCCAGCAGCCGCGGUAAUACGGAGGAUCCGAGCGUUAUCCGGAUUUAUUGGGUUUAAAGGGAGCGUAGAUGGUUUGUUAAGUCAGAUGUGAAAGUUUGCGGCUCAACCGUAAAAUUGCAAUUGAUACUGUCAGUCUUGAGUGCAGUUGAGGUAGGCGGAAUUCGUGGUGUAGCGGUGAAAUGCUUAGAUAUCACGAAGAACCCCGAUUGCGAAGGCAGCUUACUAAGCUGUGACUGACAUUGAUGCUCGAAAGUGUGGGUAGCAAACAGGAUUAGAUACCCUGGUAGUC